UACGGCCUUUGUGGGCCUGUGAGCUGCAGGUAUUGGGAAAUCCACAGCUAAGACACCAGGACCCUCUGGAAGCCUAGAAAUGGUCUUCUUCCAAAAUGAGAAAGAACUGAAAACUUAAAGGAAUGGAGCUCUGGCCAGGCGUGGCAGCUCACGCCUGUAAUCUGAGCACUUUGGGAGGCCGUGACAGAGUCUUGUUCUGUCAUCCAGGCUGGAGU
This is a long non-coding RNA of Cebus imitator (Panamanian white-faced capuchin), 215 nucleotides long. RefSeq lists it as uncharacterized. The record is from RefSeq and is a predicted model, not a curated record. Lineage: Eukaryota; Metazoa; Chordata; Mammalia; Primates; Cebidae. The transcript is spliced from 3 exons.